GAUGAACGCUGGCGGCGUGCCUAAUACAUGCAAGUCGAGCGAACGGACGAGAAGCUUGCUUCUCUGAUGUUAGCGGGGGACGGGUGAGUAACACGUGGAUAACCUACCUAUAAGACUGGGAUAACUUCGGGAAACCGGAGCUAAUACCGGAUAAUAUUUUGAACCGCAUGGUUCAAAAGUGAAAGACGGUCUUGCUGUCACUUAUAGAUGGAUCCGCGCUGCAUUAGCUAGUUGGUAAGGUAACGGCUUACCAAGGCAACGAUGCAUAGCCGACCUGAGAGGGUGAUCGGCCACACUGGAACUGAGACACGGUCCAGACUCCUACGGGAGGCAGCAGUAGGGAAUCUUCCGCAAUGGGCGAAAGCCUGACGGAGCAACGCCGCGUGAGUGAUGAAGGUCUUCGGAUCGUAAAACUCUGUUAUUAGGGAAGAACAUAUGUGUAAGUAACUGUGCACAUCUUGACGGUACCUAAUCAGAAAGCCACGGCUAACUACGUG
RNAcentral lists this ribosomal RNA (497 nucleotides) under uncultured bacterium. RNAcentral describes it as "partial 16S ribosomal RNA". It matches the Rfam family "Bacterial small subunit ribosomal RNA", at positions 28 to 507 of the family's 1533-position model. The record is from RNAcentral.